Molecule: long non-coding RNA, 1069 nt
Organism: Astyanax mexicanus (Mexican tetra)
Lineage: Eukaryota; Metazoa; Chordata; Actinopteri; Characiformes; Acestrorhamphidae
Exons: 3
Source: RefSeq, a predicted model, not a curated record
CAGCCAGAGCUGCGCGAGCCUGCAUGCGCUGGAGCGCUGAGCGCGAGCUGCACAGUUCCUUUGUUCCAUCGCGCUGCAGCGUUCGUUUAAAUUCAAAUUGUAUUUAAACUGUAACGGAUUAAUUAUAGACUAACGGAAUUAACGGACGCCUGCGGGGGAAUAGAGCACGUCUAGGGACAGCUAGCGAGCUUGUUACACUAAAGCUACUAAGCUAAUACGUGCCUGAUUCCUGCUCUCUCUAUCCGAGCAUCCUUCCCUCCUCCCCCUUCACGGGCCUAAUGUGGAGAUUUAUUCCGAUGAGCUGCACGGCUAUUGGUUGAAGGCGCUGUCCAUCACUCUCCGGGUUUGGUUGACUCCCCCAGUGGCGUCCACGCUUCCACGGCAACGCAGGCUUUAUAAAUAGGGCUUAGCAGAUUCAUAUUUUGGAUGGCAGAUCUGCACACUCUUGGUAUUUUCUCAAGAGCUUCAAGAGGUAAAGUCACCUGGAAUCGUUGUCUCAGUGUCUUGACAGCGUUCCUGGAGGUGCCUCACACUGUGCUUCAGCUUAUCCCAAACCACCAUCUCAGUUGGGUUUAGUUCAGGGAGUUGUGGAGGCCAAACACUUUUUUGUUUACUACAUAAUUACAUGUAUCCCUUAAUUGUUUUACAUUUUAAUUUUAAUCUACAAUGUAGAAAAGGAAUUAAAUUAAAAAAUAAUGAAAAAUCACUGAAUGAGAAGGUGUGUCCAAACUUUAGAUUCAUACAGUACAUAUUCAGUUAAGGAGGCUCCACACACAUCCUGCAGGUCAAUGUAAAAUUCUUUAGCUUUCAUGGGACAUGGGUAUGUCAGGGUAUUAUUAUGUUUAAAAAUAAGUAAACAUGUUCACAAAUGAAGCAUAUUAUGAUAAUUUACAGUAAUCACAGAAAACAGCAUUAUGAAACAGGGAGAGCAGUGCCGUGACUUAACAGUUUAAUGUAAAUUCAAGACAAAGUGUGAUUACAUUUCUACACAUAUACAAUAUGCAUAUGUGAGCAUACAAAUUCUCAUUAAUAACUCGAUUCACCUCGGAGACCGAAAAAAUGAUCAAAA